RNAcentral lists this ribosomal RNA (492 nucleotides) under uncultured bacterium. Its description in RNAcentral is "partial 16S ribosomal RNA". It matches the Rfam family "Bacterial small subunit ribosomal RNA", at positions 29 to 507 of the family's 1533-position model. The record is from RNAcentral.
AGUGAACGCUGGCGGUAGGCCUAACACAUGCAAGUCGAACGGCCGCACAGUAAGAGUUUGCCCUUACGGGUGGCGAGGGGCGGAUGGGUGAGGAAUACAUCGGCUUCUACUAUUUCGUGGGGGAUUACGUAGGGAAACUUAUGCUAAUACCGCAUAUGAUCAACGGCUGAAUGCAGGGGAUAUUCGCACUUUUCGUGACACUUAUAGCCGAUGUCGCAUUAGCUAGUUGGCGAGGUAAGGGCCCACCAAGGCGACGAUGCGUAGCCGACCUGAGAGGAUGAUCGGCCACACUGGAACUGAGACACGGUCCAGACUCCUACGGGAGGCAGCAGUAGGGAAUAUUCGGCAAUGGGCGAAAGCCUGAUCCAGCAAUGCCGCGUGAGUGAAGAAGGCCUUCGGAUUGUAAAACCCUUUUAUUAGGAAAGAAAAGCAGUGUGAUAAUACCCCCCUGUUCUGACGGUACCUAAAGAGAAAGCAACGGCUAACUUCGUG